CGCUAUCCUCCUACGGGAGGCAGCAGUGGGGGAAUAUUGCACAAUGGGCGCAAGCCUGAUGCAGCCAUGCCGCGUGUAUGAAGAAGGCCUUCGGGUUGUAAAGUACUUUCAGCAGUGAGGAAGGCAGGUACGUUAAUAGCGUGCUUGUUUGACGUUAGCUGCAGAAGAAGCACCGGCUAACUCCGUGCCAGCAGCCGCGGUAAUACGGAGGGUGCGAGCGUUAAUCGGAAUUACUGGGCGUAAAGCGCAUGCAGGUGGUUUGUUAAGUCAGAUGUGAAAGCCCCGGGCUCAACCUCGGAAUUGCAUUUGAAACUGGCAGACUAGAGUACUGUAGAGGGGGUAGAAUUUCAGGUGUAGCGGUGAAAUGCGUAGAGAUCUGAAGGAAUACCGGUGGCGAAGGCGGCCCCCUGGACAGAUACUGACACUCAGAUGCGAAAGCGUGGGGAGCAAACAGGAUUAGAUACCCUGGUAG
This 472-nucleotide ribosomal RNA is filed under the name uncultured bacterium. RNAcentral describes it as "bacterial SSU rRNA". It matches the Rfam family "Bacterial small subunit ribosomal RNA", at positions 329 to 793 of the family's 1533-position model. The record is from RNAcentral.